This 53-nucleotide ribosomal RNA is filed under the name Trichoderma harzianum. Its description in RNAcentral is "partial 28S ribosomal RNA". Lineage: Eukaryota; Fungi; Ascomycota; Sordariomycetes; Hypocreales; Hypocreaceae. The record is from RNAcentral. RNAcentral also lists the same sequence under 1 other name.
GUUGACCUCGGAUCAGGUAGGAAUACCCGCUGAACUUAAGCAUAUCAAUAAGG